RNAcentral lists this ribosomal RNA (468 nucleotides) under uncultured bacterium. RNAcentral's name for it is "partial 16S ribosomal RNA". It matches the Rfam family "Bacterial small subunit ribosomal RNA", at positions 28 to 507 of the family's 1533-position model. The record is from RNAcentral.
GACGAACGCUGGCGGCGUGCUUAACACAUGCAAGUCGAACGGAAAGGCCCUGCUUUUGUGGGGUGCUCGAGUGGCGAACGGGUGAUUAACACGUGAGUAACCUGCCCUUGACUUUGGGAUAACUUCAGGAAACUGGGGCUAAUACCGGAUAUGAGCUCCUGCUGCAUGGUGGGGGUUGUAAAGUUUCGGCGGUUGGGGAUGGACUCGCGGCUUAUCAGCUUGUUGGUGGGGUAGUGGCUUACCAAGGCUUUGACGGGUAGCCGGCCUGAGAGGGUGACCGGCCACAUUGGGACUGAGAUACGGCCCAGACUCCUACGGGAGGCAGCAGUGGGGAAUAUUGCACAAUGGGCGGAAGCCUGAUGCAGCAACGCCGCGUGCGGGAUGACGGCCUUCGGGUUGUAAACCGCUUUCGCCAGUGACGAAGCGUGAGUGACGGUAAUGGGUAAAGAAGCACCGGCUAACUACGUG